GGAGCUAGGGUUAGGGUUAGGGUUAGGGUUGGAGUUAGGGUUGGUGUUGGAGCUAGGGUUAGGGUUGGGCUUUGAGCUAGGACUUUUCUGAGUGCAAUGAACCAACUCCCGAGUCUCUAGGACGUUCCCUAAAAAAAUUUGAUUUUUUCCCAUAGGAAUGCAUGGGUUAGGGUUAGGGUUAGGGUUAGGGUUGGAGCUAGGGUUAGGGUUAGGGUUAGGGUUGGAGUUAGGGUUAGUGUUGGAGCUAGGGUUAGGGUUGGGCUUGGAGCUAGGAUUUUUCUGAGUGCAAUGAACCAACUCCCGAGUCUCUAGGACGUUCCAAAAAAAAUUUGAUUUUUUCCCAUAGGAAUGCAUGGGUUAGGGUUAUGGUUAGGGUUAGGGUUGGAGCUAGGGUUAGGGUUAGGGUUAGGGUUGGAGUUAGGGUUAGUGUUGGCGCUAGGGUUAGGGUUGGGCUUGGAGCUAGGAUUUUUCUGAGUGCAAUGAACCAACUCCCGAGUCUCUAGGACGUUCCUAAAAAAAUUUGAUUUUUUCCCAUAGGAAUGCAUGGGUUAGGGUUAGGGUUAGGGUUGGAGCUAGGGUUAGGGUUAGGGUUAGGGUUGGAGAUAGGGUUAGUGUUGGAGCUAGGGUUAGGGUUGGGCUUGGAGCUAGGAUUUUUCUGAGUGCAAUGAACCAACUCCCGAGUCUCUAGGACGUUCCUAAAAAAAUUUGAUUUUUUCCCAUAGGAAUGCAUGGGUCAGGGUUAGGGUUAGGGUUGGAGCUAGGGUUAGGGUUAGGGUUAGGGUUGGAGUUAGGGUUAGUGUUGGAGCUAGGGUUAGGGUUGGGCUUGGAGCUAGGAUUUUUCUGAGUGCACUGAACCAACUCCCGAGUCUCUAGGACAUUCCUAAAAAAAUUUGAUUUUUUCCCAUAGGAAUGCAUGGGUUAGGGUUAGGGUUAGGGUUGGAGCUAGGGUUAGGGUUAGGGUUAGGGUUGGAGUUAGGGUUAGUGUUGGAGCUAGGGUUAGGGUUGGGCUUGGAGCUAGGAUUUUUCUGAGUGCACUGAACCAACUCCCGAGUCUCUAGGACAUUCCUAAAAAAAUUAGAUUUUUUCCCAUAGGAAUGCAUGGGUUAGGGUUAUGGUUAGGGUUAGGGUUGGAGCUAGGGUUAGGGUUAGGGUUAGGGUUGGAGUUAGGGUUGGUGUUGGAGCUAGGGUUAGGGUUGGGCUUUGAGCUAGGACUUUUCUGAGUGCAAUGAACCAACUCCCGAGUCUCUAGGACGUUCCCUAAAAAAAUUUGAUUUUUUCCCAUAGGAAUGCAUGGGUUAGGGUUAGGGUUAGGGUUAGGGUUGGAGCUAGGGUUAGGGUUAGGGUUAGGGUUAGAGUUAGGGUUAGUGUUGGAGCUAGGGUUAGGGUUGGGCUUGGAGCUAGGAUUUUUCUGAGUGCACUGAACCAACUCCCGAGUCUCUAGGACAUUCCUAAAAAAAAUUGACUUUUUCCCAUAGGAAUGCAUGGGUUAGGGUUAGGGUUAGGGUUAGGGUUGGAGCUAGGGUUAGGGUUAGGGUUAGGGUUGGAGUUAGGGUUAGUGUUGGAGCUAGGGUUAGGGUUGGGCUUGGAGCUAGGACUUUUCUGAGUGCAAUGAACCAACUCCCGAGUCUCUAGGACGUUCCCUAAAAAAAUUUGAUUUUUUCCCAUAGGAAUGCAUGGGUUAGGGUUAGGUGUGGGGUUGGAGCUAGGGUUAGGGUUAGGGUUAGGGUUGGAGUUAGGGUUAGUGUUGGAGCUAGGGUUAGGUUUGGGCUUGGAGCUAGGAUUUUUCUGAGUGCAAUGAACCAACUCCCGAGUCUCUAGGACGUUCCUAAAAAAUUUUGAUUUUUUCCCAUAGGAAUGCAUGGGUUAGGGUUAGGGUUAGGGUUGGAGCUAGGGUUAGGGUUAGGGUUAGGGUUGGAGUUAGGGUUAGUGUUGGAGCUAGGGUUAGGGUUGGGCUUGGAGCUAGGAUUUUUCUGAGUGCAAUGAACCAACUCCCGAGUCUCUAGGAAGUUCCUAAAAAAAUUUGAUUUUUUCCCAUAGGAAUGCAUGGGUUAGGGUUAGGGUUAGGGUUGGAGCUAGGGUUAGGGUUAGGGUUAGGGUUGGAGUUAGGGUUAGUGUUGGAGCGAGGGUUAGGGUUGGGCUUGGAGCUAGGAUUUUUCUGAGUGCAAUGAACCAACUCCCGAGUCUCUAGGACGUUCCUAAAAAAAUUUGAUUUUUUCCCAUAGGAAUGCAUGGGUUAGGGUUAGGGUUAGGGUUGGAGCUAGGGUUAGGGUUAGGGUUAGGGUUGGAGUUAGGGUUAGUGUUGGAGCUAGGGUUAGGGUUGGGCUUGGAGCUAGGAUUUUUCUGAGUGCAAUGAACCAACUCCCGAGUCUCUAGGACGUUCCUAAAAAAAUUUGAUUUUUUCCCAUAGGAAUGCAUGGGUUAGGGUUAGGGUUAGGGUUGGAGCUAGGGUUAGGGUUAGGGUUAGGGUUGGAGUUAGGGUUAGUGUUAGAGCUAGGGUAAGGUUUGGGCUUGGAGCUAGGAUUUUUCUGAGUGCAAUGAACCAACUCCCGAGUCUCUAGGACGUUCCUAAAAAAAUUUGAUUUUUUUCCAUAGGAAUGCAUGGGUUAGGGUUAUGGUUAGGGUUAGGGUUGGAGCUAGGGUUAGGGUUAGGGUUAGGGUUGGAGUUAGGGUUAGUGUUGGAGCUAGGGUUAGGGUUGGGCUUGGAGCUAGGAUUUAUCUGAGUGCAAUGAACCAACUCCCGAGUCUCUAGGACGUUCCUAAAAAAAUUUGAUUUUUUCCCAUAGGAAUGCAUGGGUUAGGGUUAGGGUUAGGGUUGGAGCUAGGGUUAGGGUUAGGGUUAGGGUUGCAGUUAGGGUUAGUGUUGGAGCUAGGGUAAGGUUUGGGCUUGGAGCUAGGAUUUUUCUGAGUGCAAUGAACCAACUCCCGAGUCUCUAGGACGUUCCUAAAAAAAUUUGAUUUUUUUCCAUAGGAAUGCAUGGGUUAGGGUUAGGGUUGGAGCUAGUGUUAGGGUUAGGGUUGGAGCUAGGGUUAGGGUUAGGGUUAGGGUUGGAGUUAGGGUUAGUGUUGGAGCUAGGGUUAGGGUUGGGCUUGGAGCUAGGAUUUUUCUGAGUGCAAUGAACCAACUCCCGAGGCUCUUGGACGUUCCUAAAAAAAUUAGAUUUUUUCCCAUAGGAAUGCAUGGGUUAGGGUUAGGGUUAGGGUUGGAGCUAGGGUUAGGGUUAGGGUUAGGGUUGGAGUUAGGGUUAGUGUUGGAGCUAGGGUUAGGGUUGGGCUUGGAGCUAGGAUUUUUCUGAGUGCAAUGAACCAACUCCCGAGUCUCUAGGACGUUCCUAAAAAAAUUUGAUUUUUUCCCAUAGGAAUGCAUGGGUUAGGGUUAGGGUUAGGGUUGGAGCUAGGGUUAGGGUUAGGGUUAGGGUUGGAGUUAAGGUUAGUGUUGGAGCUAGGGUUAGGGUUGGGCUUGGAGCUAGGAUUUUUCUGAGUGCAGUGAACCAACUCCCGAGUCUCUAGGACGUUCCUAAAAAAAUUUGAUUUUUUCCCAUAGGAAUGCAUGGGUUAGGGUUAUGGUUAGGGUUAGGGUUGGAGCUAGGGUUAGGGUUAGGGUUAGGGUUGGAGUUAGGGUUAGUGUUGGAGCUAGGGUUAGGGUUGGGCUUGGAGCUAGGAUUUUUCUGAGUGCAAUGAACCAACUCCCGAGUCUCUAGGACGUUCCUAAAAAAAUUUGAUUUUUUCCCAUAGGAAUGCAUGGGUUAGGGUUAGGGUUAGGGUUGGAGCUAGGGUUAGGGUUAGGGUUGGAGUUAGGGUUAGUGUUGGAGCUAGGGUUAGGGUUGGGCUUGGAGCUAGGAUUUUUCUGAGUGCACUGAACCAACUCCCGAGUCUCUAGGACAUUCCUAAAAAAAUUUGAUUUUUUCCCAUAGGAAUGCAUGGGUUAGGGUUAUGGUUAGGGUUAGGGUUGGAGCUAGGGUUAGGGUUAGGGUUAGGGUUGGAGUUAGGGUUAGUGUUGGAGCUAGGGUUAGGGUUGGGCUUGGAGCUAGGAUUUUUCUGAGUGCAAUGAACCAACUCCCGAGUCUCUAGGACGUUCCUAAAAAAAUUUGAUUUUUUCCCAUAGGAAUGCAUGGGUUAGGGUUAGGGUUAGGGUUGGAGCUAGGGUUAGGGUUAGGGUUAGGGUUGGAGUUAGGGUUAGUGUUAGAGCUAGGGUAAGGUUUGGGCUUGGAGCUAGGAUUUUUCUGAGUGCAAUGAACCAACUCCCGAGUCUCUAGGACGUUCCUAAAAAAAUUUGAUUUUUUCCCAUAGGAAUGCAUGGGUUAGGGUUAGGGUUAGGGUUGGAGCUAGGGUUAGGGUUAGGGUUAGGGUUGCAGUUAGGGUUAGUGUUGGAGCUAGGGUAAGGUUUGGGCUUGGAGCUAGGAUUUUUCUGAGUGCAAUGAACCAACUCCCGAGUCUCUAGGACGUUCCUAAAAAAAUUUGAUUUUUUUCCCAUAGGAAUGCAUGGGUUAGGGUUAUGGUUAGGGUUAGGGUUGGAGCUAGGGUUAGGGUUAGGGUUAGGGUUGGAGUUAGGGUUAGUGUUGGAGCUAGGGUUAGGGUUGGGCUUGGAGCUAGGAUUUAUCUGAGUGCAAUGAACCAACCCCCGAGUCUCUAGGACGUUCCUAAAAAAAUUUGAUUUUUUCCCAUAGGAAUGCAUGGGUUAGGGUUAUGGUUAGCGUUAGGGUUGGAGCUAGGGUUAGGGUUAGGGUUAGGGUUGGAGUUAGGGUUAGUGUUGGAGCUAGGGUUAGGGUUGGGCUUGGAGCUAGGAUUUUUCUGAGUGCACUGAACCAACUCCCGAGUCUCUAGGACGUUCCUAAAAAAAUUUGAUUUUUUCCCAUAGGAAUGCAUGGGUCAGGGUUAGGGUUAGGGUUGGAGCUAGGGUUAGGGUUAGGGUUAGGGUUGGAGUUAGGGUUAGUGUUGGAGCUAGGGUUAGGGUUGGGCUUGGAGCUAGGAUUUUUCUGAGUGCAAUGAACCAACUCCCGAGUCUCUAGGACGUUCCUAAAAAAAUUUGAUUUUUUCCCAUAGGAAUGCAUGGGUUAGGGUUAGGGUUAGGGUUAGGGUUGGAGCUAGGGUUAGGGUUAGGGUUAGGGUUGGAGUUAGGGUUAGUGUUGGAGCUAGGGUUAGGGUUGGGCUUGGAGCUAGGAUUUUUCUGAGUGCAAUGAACCAACUCCCGAGUCUCUAGGACGUUCCUAAAAAAAUUUGAUUUUUUCCCAUAGGAAUGCAUGGGUUAGGGUUAGGGUUAGGGUUGGAGCUAGGGUUAGGGUUAGGGUUAGGGUUGGAGUUAGGGUUAGUGUUGGAGCUAGGGUUAGGGUUGGGCUUGGAGCUAGGAUUUUUCUGAGUGCAAUGAACCAACUCCCGAGUCUCUAGGACGUUCCUAAAAAAAUUUGAUUUUUUCCCAUAGGAAUGCAUGGGUUAGGGUUAGGGUUAGGGUUGGAGCUAGGGUUAGGGUUAGGGUUAGGGUUGGAGUUAGGGUUAGUGUUGGAGCUAGGGUUAGGGUUGGGCUUGGAACUAGGACUUUUCUGAGUGCAAUGAACCAACUCCCGAGUCUCUAGGACGUUCCCUAAAAAAAUUUGAUUUUUUCCCAUAGGAAUGCAUGGGUUAGGGUUAGGGUUAGGGUUGGAGCUAGGGUUAGGGUUAGGGUUAGGGUUAGAGUUAGGGUUAGUGUUGGAGCUAGGGUUAGGGUUGGGCUUGGAGCUAGGAUUUUUCUGAGUGCACUGAACCAACUCCCGAGUCUCUAGGACGUUCCUAAAAAAAUUUGAUUUUUUCCCAUAGGAAUGCAUGGGUUAGGGUUAGGGUUAGGGUUGGAGCUAGGGUAAGGGUUAGGGUUAGGGUUGGAGUUAGGGUUAGUGUUGGAGCUAGGGUUAGGGUUGGGCUUGGAGCUAGGACUUUUCUGAGUGCAAUGAACCAACUCCCGAGUCUCUAGGACGUUCCCUAAUAAAAUUUGAUUUUUUCCCAUAGGAAUGCAUGGGUUAGGGUUAGGGUUAGGGUUGGAGCUAGGGUUAGGGUUAGGGUUAGGGUUGGAGUUAGGGUUAGUGUUGGAGCUAGGGUUAGGGUUGGGCUUGGAGCUAGGAUUUUUCUGAGUGCACUGAACCAACUCCCGAGUCUCUAGGACAUUCCUAAAAAAAUUUGAUUUUUUCCCAUAGGAAUGCAUGGGUUAGGGUUAUGGUUAGGGUUAGGGUUGGAGCUAGGGUUAGGGUUAGGGUUAGGGUUGGAGUUAGGGUUAGUGUUGGAGCUAGGGUUAGGGUUGGGCUUGGAGCUAGGAUUUUUCUGAGUGCAAUGAACCAACUCCCGAGUCUCUUGGACAUUCCUAAAAAAAUUUGAUUUUUUCCCAUAGGAAUGCAUGGGUUAGGGUUAGGGUUAGGGUUGGAGCUAGGGUUAGGGUUAGGGUUAGGGUUGGAGUUAGGGUUAGUGUUGGAGCUAGGGUUAGGGUUGGGCUUGGAGCUAGGAUUUUUCUGAGUGCAAUGAACCAACUCCCGAGUCUCUAGGACGUUCCUAAAAAAAUUUGAUUUUUUCCCAUAGGAAUGCAUGGGUUAGGGUUAGGGUUAGGGUUAGGGUUGGAGCUAGGGUUAGGGUUAGGGUUAGGGUUGGAGUUAGGGUUAGUGUUGGAGCUAGGGUUAGGGUUGGGCUUGGAGCUAGGAUUUUUCUGAGUGCAAUGAACCAACCCCGAGUCUCUAGGACGUUCCUAAAAAAAUUUGAUUUUUUCCCAUAGGAAUGCAUGGGUUAGGGUUAUGGUUAGGGUUAGGGUUGGAGCUAGGGUUAGGGUUAGGGUUAGGGUUGGAGUUAGGGUUAGUGUUGGAGCUAGGGUUAGGGUUGGGCUUGGAGCUAGGAUUUUUCUGAGUGCACUGAACCAACUCCCGAGUCUCUAGGACAUUCCUAAAAAAAAUUGAUUUUUUCCCAUAGGAAUGCAUGGGUUAGGGUUAGGGUUAGGGUUGGAGCUAGGGUUAGGGUUAGGGUUGGAGUUAGGGUUAGUGUUGGAGCUAGGGUUAGGGUUGGGCUUGGAGCUAGGACUUUUCUGAGUACAAUGAACCAACUCCCGAGUCUCUAGGACGUUCCCUAAAAAAAUUUGAUUUUUUCCCAUAGGAAUGCAUGGGUUAGGGUUAGGGUUAGGGUUGGAGCUAGGGUUAGGGUUAGGGUUAGGGUUGGAGUUAGGGUUAGUGUUGGAGCUAGGGUUAGGGUUGGGCUUGGAGCUAGGAUUUUUCUGAGUGCACUGAACCAACUCCCGAGUCUCUAGGACAUUCCUAAAAAAAUUUGAUUUUUUCCCAUAGGAAUGCAUGGGUUAGGGUUAUGGUUAGGGUUAGGGUUGGAGCUAGGGUUAGGGUUAGGGUUAGGGUUGGAGUUAGGGUUAGUGUUGGAGCUAGGGUUAGGGUUGGGCUUGGAGCUAGGAUUUUUCUGAGUGCAAUGAACCAACUCCUGAGUCUCUAGGACUUUCCUAAAAAAAUUUGAUUUUUUCCCAUAGGAAUGCAUGGGUUAGGGUUAGGGUUAGGGUUAGGGUUGGAGCUAGGGUUAGGGUUAGGGUUAGGGUUGGAGUUAGGGUUAGUGUUGGAGCUAGGGUUAGGGUUGGGCUUGGAGCUAGGAUUUUUCUGAGUGCAAUGAACCAACCCCUAGUCUCUAGGACGUUCCUAAAAAAAUUUGAUUUUUUCCCAUAGGAAUGCAUGGGUUAGGGUUAUGGUUAGGGUUAGGGUUGGAGCUAGGGUUAGGGUUAGGGUUAGGGUUGGAGUUAGGGUUAGUGUUGGAGCUAGGGUUAGGGUUGGGCUUGGAGCUAGGAUUUUUCUGAGUGCACUGAACCAACUCCCGAGUCUCUAGGACAUUCCUAAAAAAAUUGAUUUUUUCCCAUAGGAAUGCAUGGGUUAGGGUUAGGGUUGGAGCUAGGGUUAGGGUUAGGGUUGGAGUUAGGGUUAGUGUUGGAGCUAGGGUUAGGGUUGGGCUUGGAGCUAGGACUUUUCUGAGUGCAAUGAACCAACUCCCGAGUCUCUAGGACGUUCCCUAAAAAAAUUUGAUUUUUUCCCAUAGGAAUGCAUGGGUUAGGGUUAGGGUUAGGGUUGGAGCUAGGGUUAGGGUUAGGGUUAGGGUUGGAGUUAGGGUUAGUGUUGGAGCUAGGGUUAGGGUUGGGCUUGGAGCUAGGAUUUUUCUGAGUGCACUGAACCAACUCCCGAGUCUCUAGGACAUUCCUAAAAAAAUUGAUUUUUUCCCAUAGGAAUGCAUGGGUUAGGGUUAGGGUUAGGGUUGGAGCUAGGGUUAGGGUUAGGGUUAGGGUUGGAGUUAGGGUUAGUGUUGGAGCUAGGGUUAGGGUUGGGCUUGGAGCUAGGAUUUUUCUGAGUGCACUGAACCAACUCCCGAGUCUCUAGGACAUUCCUAAAAAAAAAUUUGAUUUUUUCCCAUAGGAAUGCAUGGGUUAGGGUUAUGGUUAGGGUAAGGGUUGGAGCUAGGGUUAGGGUUAGGGUUAGGGUUGGAGUUAGGGUUAGUGUUGGAGCUAGGGUUAGGGUUGGGCUUGGAGCUAGGAUUUUUCUGAGUGCAAUGAACCAACUCCCGAGUCUCUUGGACAUUCCUAAAAAAAUUUGAUUUUUUCCCAUAGGAAUGCAUGGGUUAGGGUUAGGGUUAGGGUUGGAGCUAGGGUUAGGGUUAGGGUUAGUGUUGGAGCUAGGGUUAGGGUUGGGCUUGGAGCUAGGACUUUUCUGAGUGCAAUGAACCAACUCCCGAGUCUCUAGGACGUUCCCUAAAAAAAUUUGAUUUUUUCCCAUAGGAAUGCAUGGGUUAGGGUUAGGGUUAGGGUUGGAGCUAGGGUUAGGGUUAGGGUUAGGGUUGGAGUUAGGGUUAGUGUUGGAGCUAGGGUUAGGGUUGGGCUUGGAGCUAGGAUUUUUCUGAGUGCACUGAACCAACUCCCGAGUCUCUAGGACAUUCCUAAAAAAAUUUGAUUUUUUCCCAUAGGAAUGCAUGGGUUAGGGUUAUGGUUAGGGUUAGGGUUGGAGCUAGGGUUAGGGUUAGGGUUAGGGUUGGAGUUAGGGUUAGUGUUGGAGCUAGGGUUAGGGUUGGGCUUGGAGCUAGGAUUUUUCUGAGUGCAAUGAACCAACUCCCGAGUCUCUAGGACGUUCCUAAAAAAUUUGAUUUUUUCCCAUAGGAAUGCAUGGGUUAGGGUUAGGGUUAGGGUUGGAGCUAGGGUUAGGGUUAGGGUUAGGGUUGGAGUUAGGGUUAGUGUUGGAGCUAGGGUUAGGGUUGGGCUUGGAGCUAGGAUUUUUCUGAGUGCAAUGAACCAACUCCCGAGUCUCUAGGACGUUCCUAAAAAAAUUUGAUUUUUUCCCAUAGGAAUGCAUGGGUUAGGGUUAGGGUUAGGGUUAGGGUUGGAUCUAGGGUUAGGGUUAGGGUUAGGGUUGGAGUUAGGGUUAGUGUUGGAGCUAGGGUUAGGGUUGGGCUUGGAGCUAGGAUUUUUCUGAGUGCAAUGAACCAACCCCGAGUCUCUAGGACGUUCCUAAAAAAAUUUGAUUUUUUCCCAUAGGAAUGCAUGGGUUAGGGUUAUGGUUAGGGUUAGGGUUGGAGCUAGGGUUAGGGUUAGGGUUAGGGUUGGAGUUAGGGUUAGUGUUGGAGCUAGGGUUAGGGUUGGGCUUGGAGCUAGGAUUUUUCUGAGUGCACUGAACCAACUCCCGAGUCUCUAGGACAUUCCUAAAAAAAAUUGAUUUUUUCCCAUAGGAAUGCAUGGGUUAGGGUUAGGGUUAGGGUUGGAGCUAGGGUUAGGGUUAGGGUUGGAGUUAGGGUUAGUGUUGGAGCUAGGGUUAGGGUUGGGCUUGGAGCUAGGACUUUUCUGAGUGCAAUGAACCAACUCCCGAGUCUCUAGGACGUUCCCUAAAAAAAUUUGAUUUUUUCCCAUAGGAAUGCAUGGGUUAGGGUUAGGGUUAGGGUUGGAGCUAGGGUUAGGGUUAGGGUUAGGGUUGGAGUUAGGGUUAGUGUUGGAGCUAGGGUUAGGGUUGGGCUUGGAGCUAGGAUUUUUCUGAGUGCACUGAACCAACUCCCGAGUCUCUAGGACAUUCCUAAAAAAAAUUGAUUUUUUUCCCAUAGGAAUGCAUGGGUUAGGGUUAGGGUUAGGGUUGGAGCUAGGGUUAGGGUUAGGGUUAGGGUUGGAGUUAGGGUUAGUGUUGGAGCUAGGGUUAGGGUUGGGCUUGGAGCUAGGAUUUUUCUGAGUGCACUGAACCAACUCCCGAGUCUCUAGGACAUUCCUAAAAAAAUUUGAUUUUUUCCCAUAGGAAUGCAUGGGUUAGGGCUAUGGUUAGGGUAAGGGUUGGAGCUAGGGUUAGGGUUAGGGUGAGGGUUGGAGUUAGGGUUAGUGUUGGAGCUAGGGUUAGGGUUGGGCUUGGAGCUAGGAUUUUUCUGAGUGCAAUGAACCAACUCCCGAGUCUCUUGGACAUUCCUAAAAAAAUUUGAUUUUUUCCCAUAGGAAUGCAUGGGUUAGGGUUAGGGUUAGGGUUGGAGCUAGGGUUAGGGUUAGGGUUAGGGUUGGAGUUAGGGUUAGUGUUGGAGCUAGGGUUAGGGUUGGGCUUGGAGCUAGGAUUUUUCUGAGUGCAAUGAACCAACUCCCGAGUCUCUAGGACGUUCCUAAAAAAAUUUGAUUUUUUCCCAUAGGAAUGCAUGGGUUAGGGUUAGGGUUAGGGUUAGGGUUGGAGCUAGGGUUAGGGUUAGGGUUAGGGUUGGAGUUAGGGUUAGUGUUGGAGCUAGGGUUAGGGUUGGGCUUGGAGCUAGGAUUUUUCUGAGUGCAAUGAACCAACCCCGAGUCUCUAGGACGUUCCUAAAAAAAUUUGAUUUUUUCCCAUAGGAAUGCAUGGGUUAGGGUUAUGGUUAGGGUUAGGGUUGGAGCUAGGGUUAGGGUUAGGGUUAGGGUUGGAGUUAGGGUUAGUGUUUGAGCUAGGGUUAGGGUUGGGCUUGGAGCUAGGAUUUUUCUGAGUGCAAUGAACCAACUCCCGAGUCUCUAGGACGUUCCUAAAAAAAUUUGAUUUUUUCCCAUAGGAAUGCAUGGGUUAGGGUUAGGGUUAGGGUUGGAGCUAGGGUUAGGGUUAGGGUUAGGGUUGGAGUUAGGGUUAGUGUUGGAGCUAGGGUUAGGGUUGGGCUUGGAGCUAGGAUUUUUCUGAGUGCAAUGAACCAACUCCCGAGUCUCUAGGACGUUCCUAAAACAAUUUGAUUUUUUCCCAUAGGAAUGCAUGGGUUAGGGUUAGGGUUAGGGUUGGAGCUAGGGUUAGGGUUAGGGUUAGGGUUGGAGUUAGGGUUAGUGUUGGAGCUAGGGUUAGGGUUGGGCUUGGAGCUAGGACUUUUCUGAGUGCAAUGAACCAACUCCCGAGUCUCUAGGACGUUCCCUAAAAAAAUUUGAUUUUUUCCCAUAGGAAUGCAUGGGUUAGGGUUAGGGUUAGGGUUGGAGCUAGGGUUAGGGUUAGGGUUAGGGUUAGAGUUAGGGUUAGUGUUGGAGCUAGGGUUAGGGUUGGGCUUGGAGCUAGGAUUUUUCUGAGUGCACUGAACCAACUCCCGAGUCUCUAGGACAUUCCUAAAAAAAUUGAUUUUUUUCCAUAGGAAUGCAUGGGUUAGGGUUAGGGUUAGGGUUGGAGCUAGGGUUAGUGUUAGGUUUAGGGUUGGAGUUAGGGUUAGUGUUUGAGCUAGGGUUAGGGCUGGGCUUGGAGCUAGGAUUUUUCUGAGUGCAAUGAACCAACUCCCGAGUCUCUAGGACGUUCCUAAAAAAAAUUGAUUUUUUCCCAUAGGAAUGCAUGGGUUAGGGUUAGGGUUAGGGUUGGAGCUAGGGUUAGGGUUAGGGUUAGGGUUGGAGUUAGGGUUAGUGUUGGAGCUAGGGUUAGGGUUGGGCUUGGAGCUAGGAUUUUUCUGAGUGCAAUGAACCAACUCCCGAGUCUCUAGGACGUUCCUAAAAAAAUUUGAUUUUUUCCCAUAGGAAUGCAUGGGUUAGGGUUAGGGUUAGGGUUGGAGCUAGGGUUAGGGUUAGGGUUAGGGUUGGAGUUAGGGUUAGUGUUGGAGCUAGGGUUAGGGUUGGGCUUGGAGCUAGGAUUUUUCUGAGUGCACUGAACCAACUCCCGAGUCUCUAGGACAUUCCUAAAAAAAUUUGAUUUUUUCCCAUAGGAAUGCAUGGGUUAGGGUUAGGGUUAGGGUUGGAGCUAGGGUUAGGGUUAGGGUUGGAGUUAGGGUUAGUGUUGGAGCUAGGGUUAGGGUUGGGCUUGGAGCUAGGACUUUUCUGAGUGCAAUGAACCAACUCCCGAGUCUCUAGGACGUUCCCUAAAAAAAAUUGAUUUUUUCCCAUAGGAAUGCAUGGGUUAGGGUUAGGGUUAGGGUUGGAGCUAGGGUUAGGGUUAGGGUUAGGGUUAGAGUUAGGGUUAGUGUUGGAGCUAGGGUUAGGGUUGGGCUUGGAGCUAGGAUUUUUCUGAGUGCACUGAACCAACUCCCGAGUCUCUAGGACAUUCCUAAAAAAAAUUGAUUUUUUUCCAUAGGAAUGCAUGGGUUAGGGUUAGGGUUAGGGUUGGAGCUAGGGUUAGUGUUAGGUUUAGGGUUGGAGUUAGGGUUAGUGUUGGAGUUAGGGUUAGGGUUGGGCUUGGAGCUAGGAUUUUUCUGAGUGCAAUGAACCAACUCCCGAGUCUCUAGGACGUUCCUAAAAAAAUUUGAUUUUUUCCCAUAGGAAUGCAUGGGUUAGGGUUAGGGUUAGGGUUGGAGCUAGGGUUAGGGUUAGGGUUAGGGUUGGAGUUAGGGUUAGUGUUGGAGCUAGGGUUAGGGUUGGGCUUGGAGCUAGGAUUUUUCUGAGUGCACUGAACCAACUCCCGAGUCUCUAGGACAUUCCUAAAAAAAUUUGAUUUUUUCCCAUAGGAAUGCAUGGGUUAGGGUUAUGGUUAGGGUUAGGGUUGGAGCUAGGGUUAGGGUUAGGGUUAGGGUUGGAGUUAGGGUUAGUGUUGGAGCUAGGGUUAGGGUUGGGCUUGGAGCUAGGAUUUUUCUGAGAGGCACUGAACCAACUCCCGAGUCUCUAGGACAUUCCUAAAAAAAUUUGAUUUUUCCCAUAGGAAUGCAUGGGUUAGGGUUAUGGUUAGGGUUAGGGUUGGAGCUAGGGUUAGGGUUAGGGUUAGGGUUGGAGUUAUGGUUAGUGUUGGAGCUAGGGUUAGGGUUGGGCUUGGAGCUAGGAUUUUUCUGAGUGCAAUGAACCAACUCCCGAGUCUCUAGGACGUUCCUAAAAAAAUUUGAUUUUUUCCCAUAGGAAUGCAUGGGUUAGGGUUAGGGUUAGGGUUGGAGCUAGGGUUAGGGUUAGGGUUAGGGUUAGGGUUGGAGUUAGGGUUAGUGUUGGAGCUAGGGUUAGGGUUGGGCUUGGAGCUAGGAUUUUUCUGAGUGCACUGAACCAACUCCCGAGUCUCUAGGACAUUCCUAAAAAAAUUUGAUUUUUUCCCAUAGGAAUGCAUGGGUUAGGGUUAGGGUUAGGGUUGGAGCUAGGGUUAGGGUUAGGGUUAGGGUUGGAGUUAGGGUUAGUGUUGGAGCUAGGGUUAGGGUUGGGCUUGGACUAGGAUUUUUCUGAGUGCACUGAACCAACUCCCGAGUCUCUAGGACAUUCCUAAAAAAAUUUGAUUUUUUCCCAUAGGAAUGCAUGGGUUAGGGUUAUGGUUAGGGUUAGGGUUGGAGCUAGGGUUAGGGUUAGGGUUAGGGUUGGAGUUAGGGUUAGUGUUGGAGCUAGGGUUAGGGUUGGGCUUGGAGCUAGGAUUUUUCUGAGUGCAAUGAACCAACUCCCGAGUCUCUUGGACGUUCCUAAAAAAAUUUGAUUUUUUCCCAUAGGAAUGCAUGGGUUAGGGUUAGGGUUAGGGUUGGAGCUAGGGUUAGGGUUAGGGUUAGGGUUGGAGUUAGGGUUAGUGUUGGAGCUAGGGUUAGGGUUGGGCUUGGAGCUAGGAUUUUUCUGAGUGCACUGAACCAACUCCCGAGUCUCUAGGACAUUCCUAAAAAAAUUUGAUUUUUUCCCAUAGGAAUGCAUGGGUUAGGGUUAUGUUUAGGGUUAGGGUUGGAGCUAGGGUUAGGGUUAGGGUUAGGGUUGGAGUUAGGGUUAGUGUUGGAGCUAGGGUUAGGGUUGGGCUUGGAGCUAGGAUUUUUCUGAGUGCAAUGAACCAACUCCCGAGUCUCUUGGACGUUCCUAAAAAAAUUUGAUUUUUUCCCAUAGGAAUGCAUGGGUUAGGGUUAGGGUUAGGGUUGGAGCUAGGGUUAGGGUUAGGGUUAGGGUUGGAGUUAGGGUUAGUGUUGGAGCUAGGGUUAGGGUUGGGCUUGGAGCUAGGAUUUUUCUGAGUGCAAUGAACCAACUCCCGAGUCUCUAGGACGUUCCUAAAAAAAUUUGAUUUUUUCCCAUAGGAAUGCAUGGGUUAGGGUUAGGGUUAGGGUUAGGGUUGGAGCUAGGGUUAGGGUUAGGGUUAGGGUUGGAGUUAGGGUUAGUGUUGGAGCUAGGGUUAGGGUUGGGCUUGGAGCUAGGAUUUUUCUGAGUGCAAUGAACCAACCCCGAGUCUCUAGGACGUUCCUAAAAAAUUUGAUUUUUUCCCAUAGGAAUGCAUGGGUUAGGGUUAUGGUUAGGGUUAGGGUUGGAGCUAGGGUUAGGGUUAGGGUUAGGGUUGGAGUUAGGGUUAGUGUUUGAGCUAGGGUUAGGGUUGGGCUUGGAGCUAGGAUUUUUCUGAGUGCAAUGAACCAACUCCCGAGUCUCUAGGACGUUCCUAAAAAAAUUUGAUUUUUUCCCAUAGGAAUGCAUGGGUUAGGGUUAGGGUUAGGGUUGGAGCUAGGGUUAGGGUUAGGGUUAGGGUUGGAGUUAGGGUUAGUGUUGGAGCUAGGGUUAGGGUUGGGCUUGGAGCUAGGAUUUUUCUGAGUGCAAUGAACCAACUCCCGAGUCUCUAGGACGUUCCUAAAACAAUUUGAUUUUUUCCCAUAGGAAUGCAUGGGUUAGGGUUAGGGUUAGGGUUGGAGCUAGGGUUAGGGUUAGGGUUAGGGUUGGAGUUAGGGUUAGUGUUGGAGCUAGGGUUAGGGUUGGGCUUGGAGCUAGGACUUUUCUGAGUGCAAUGAACCAACUCCCGAGUCUCUAGGACGUUCCCUAAAAAAAUUUGAUUUUUUCCCAUAGGAAUGCAUGGGUUAGGGUUAGGGUUAGGGUUGGAGCUAGGGUUAGGGUUAGGGUUAGGGUUAGAGUUAGGGUUAGUGUUGGAGCUAGGGUUAGGGUUGGGCUUGGAGCUAGGAUUUUUCUGAGUGCACUGAACCAACUCCCGAGUCUCUAGGACAUUCCUAAAAAAAUUGAUUUUUUUCCAUAGGAAUGCAUGGGUUAGGGUUAGGGUUAGGGUUGGAGCUAGGGUUAGUGUUAGGUUUAGGGUUGGAGUUAGGGUUAGUGUUGGAGCUAGGGUUAGGGUUGGGCUUGGAGCUAGGAUUUUUCUGAGUGCAAUGAACCAACUCCCGAGUCUCUAGGACGUUCCUAAAAAAAUUGAUUUUUUCCCAUAGGAAUGCAUGGGUUAGGGUUAGGGUUAGGGUUGGAGCUAGGGUUAGGGUUAGGGUUAGGGUUGGAGUUAGGGUUAGUGUUGGAGCUAGGGUUAGGGUUGGGCUUGGAGCUAGGAUUUUUCUGAGUGCAAUGAACCAACUCCCGAGUCUCUAGGACGUUCCUAAAAAAAUUUGAUUUUUUCCCAUAGGAAUGCAUGGGUUAGGGUUAGGGUUAGGGUUGGAGCUAGGGUUAGGGUUAGGGUUAGGGUUGGAGUUAGGGUUAGUGUUGGAGCUAGGGUUAGGGUUGGGCUUGGAGCUAGGAUUUUUCUGAGUGCACUGAACCAACUCCCGAGUCUCUAGGACAUUCCUAAAAAAAUUUGAUUUUUUCCCAUAGGAAUGCAUGGGUUAGGGUUAGGGUUAGGGUUGGAGCUAGGGUUAGGGUUAGGGUUGGAGUUAGGGUUAGUGUUGGAGCUAGGGUUAGGGUUGGGCUUGGAGCUAGGACUUUUCUGAGUGCAAUGAACCAACUCCCGAGUCUCUAGGACGUUCCCUAAAAAAAAUUGAUUUUUUCCCAUAGGAAUGCAUGGGUUAGGGUUAGGGUUAGGGUUGGAGCUAGGGUUAGGGUUAGGGUUAGGGUUAGAGUUAGGGUUAGUGUUGGAGCUAGGGUUAGGGUUGGGCUUGGAGCUAGGAUUUUUCUGAGUGCACUGAACCAACUCCCGAGUCUCUAGGACAUUCCUAAAAAAAAUUGAUUUUUUUCCCAUAGGAAUGCAUGGGUUAGGGUUAGGGUUAGGGUUGGAGCUAGGGUUAGUGUUAGGUUUAGGGUUGGAGUUAGGGUUAGUGUUGGAGUUAGGGUUAGGGUUGGGCUUGGAGCUAGGAUUUUUCUGAGUGCAAUGAACCAACUCCCGAGUCUCUAGGACGUUCCUAAAAAAAUUUGAUUUUUUCCCAUAGGAAUGCAUGGGUUAGGGUUAGGGUUAGGGUUGGAGCUAGGGUUAGGGUUAGGGUUAGGGUUGGAGUUAGGGUUAGUGUUGGAGCUAGGGUUAGGGUUGGGCUUGGAGCUAGGAUUUUUCUGAGUGCACUGAACCAACUCCCGAGUCUCUAGGACAUUCCUAAAAAAAUUUGAUUUUUUCCCAUAGGAAUGCAUGGGUUAGGGUUAUGGUUAGGGUUAGGGUUGGAGCUAGGGUUAGGGUUAGGGUUAGGGUUGGAGUUAGGGUUAGUGUUGGAGCUAGGGUUAGGGUUGGGCUUGGAGCUAGGAUUUUUCUGAGAGCACUGAACCAACUCCCGAGUCUCUAGGACAUUCCUAAAAAAAUUUGAUUUUUUCCCAUAGGAAUGCAUGGGUUAGGGUUAUGGUUAGGGUUAGGGUUGGAGCUAGGGUUAGGGUUAGGGUUAGGGUUGGAGUUAUGGUUAGUGUUGGAGCUAGGGUUAGGGUUGGGCUUGGAGCUAGGAUUUUUCUGAGUGCAAUGAACCAACUCCAGAGUCUCUAGGACGUUCCUAAAAAAAUUUGAUUUUUUCCCAUAGGAAUGCAUGGGUUAGGGUUAGGGUUAGGGUUGGAGCUAGGGUUAGGGUUAGGGUUAGGGUUAGGGUUGGAGUUAGGGUUAGUGUUGGAGCUAGGGUUAGGGUUGGGCUUGGAGCUAGGAUUUUUCUGAGUGCACUGAACCAACUCCCGAGUCUCUAGGACAUUCCUAAAAAAAUUUGAUUUUUUCCCAUAGGAAUGCAUGGGUUAGGGUUAGGGUUAGGGUUGGAGCUAGGGUUAGGGUUAGGGUUAGGGUUGGAGUUAGGGUUAGUGUUGGAGCUAGGGUUAGGGUUGGGCUUGGAGCUAGGAUUUUUCUGAGUGCACUGAACCAACUCCCGAGUCUCUAGGACAUUCCUAAAAAAUUUGAUUUUUUCCCAUAGGAAUGCAUGGGUUAGGGUUAUGGUUAGGGUUAGGGUUGGAGCUAGGGUUAGGGUUAGGGUUAGGGUUGGAGUUAGGGUUAGUGUUGGAGCUAGGGUUAGGGUUGGGCUUGGAGCUAGGAUUUUUCUGAGUGCAAUGAACCAACUCCCGAGUCUCUUGGACGUUCCUAAAAAAAUUUGAUUUUUUCCCAUAGGAAUGCAUGGGUUAGGGUUAGGGUUAGGGUUGGAGCUAGGGUUAGGGUUAGGGUUAGGGUUGGAGUUAGGGUUAGUGUUGGAGCUAGGGUUAGGGUUGGGCUUGGAGCUAGGAUUUUUCUGAGUGCACUGAACCAACUCCCGAGUCUCUAGGACAUUCCUAAAAAAAUUAGAUUUUUUCCCAUAGGAAUGCAUGGGUUAGGGUUAUGUUUAGGGUUAGGGUUGGAGCUAGGGUUAGGGUUAGGGUUAGGGUUGGAGUUAGGGUUAGUGUUGGAGCUAGGGUUAGGGUUGGGCUUGGAGCUAGGAUUUUUCUGAGUGCAAUGAACCAACUCCCGAGUCUCUUGGACGUUCCUAAAAAAAUUUGAUUUUUUCCCAUAGGAAUGCAUGGGUUAGGGUUAGGGUUAGGGUUGGAGCUAGGGUUAGGGUUAGGGUUAGGGUUGGAGUUAGGGUUAGUGUUGGAGCUAGGGUUAGGGUUGGGCUUGGAGCUAGGAUUUUUCUGAGUGCAAUGAACCAACUCCCGAGUCUCUAGGACGUUCCUAAAAAAAUUUGAUUUUUUCCCAUAGGAAUGCAUGGGUUAGGGUUAGGGUUAGGGUUGGAGCUAGGGUUAGGGUUAGGGUUAGGGUUGGAGUUAAGGUUAGUGUUGGAGCUAGGGUUAGGGUUGGGCUUGGAGCUAGGAUUUUUCUGAGUGCAAUGAACCAACUACCGAGUCUCUAGGACGUUCCUAAAAAAAUUUGAUUUUUUCCCAUAGGAAUGCAUGGGUUAGGGUUAUGGUUAGGGUUAGGGUUGGAGCUAGGGUUAGGGUUAGGGUUAGGGUUGGAGUUAGGGUUAGUGUUGGAGCUAGGGUUAGGGUUGGGCUUGGAGCUAGGAUUUUUCUGAGUGCAAUGAACCAACCCCCGAGUCUCUAGGACGUUCCUAAAAAAAUUUGAUUUUUUCCCAUAGGAAUGCAUGGGUUAGGGUUAUGGUUAGGGUUAGGGUUGGAGCUAGGGUUAGGGUUAGGGUUAGGGUUGGAGUUAGGGUUAGUGUUGGAGCUAGGGUUAGGGUUGGGCUUGGAGCUAGGAUUUUUCUGAGUGCAAUGAACCAACUCCCGAGUCUCUAGGACAUUCCUAAAAAAAUUUGAUUUUUUCCCAUAGGAAUGCAUGGGUUAGGGUUAGGGUUAGGGUUGGAGCUAGGGUUAGGGUUAGGGUUAGGGUUGGAGUUAGGGUUAGUGUUGGAGCUAGGGUUAGGGUUGGGCUUGGAGCUAGGAUUUUUCUGAGUGCAAUGAACCAACUCCCGAGUCUCUAGGACGUUCCUAAAAAAAUUUGAUUUUUUCCCAUAGGAAUGCAUGGGUUAGGGUUAGGGUUAGGGUUGGAGCUAGGGUUAGGGUUAGGGUUAGGGUUAGUGUUGGAGCUAGGGUUAGGGUUGGGCUUGGAGCUAGGAUUUUUCUGAGUGCACUGAACCAACUCCCGAGUCUCUAGGACAUUCCUAAAAAAAUUAGAUUUUUUCCCAUAGGAAUGCAUGGGUUAGGGUUAGGGUUAGGCUUGGAGCUAGGGUUAGGGUUAGGGUUAGGGUUGGAGUUAGGGUUAGUGUUGGAGCUAGGGUUAGGGUUGGGCUUGGAGCUAGGAUUUUUCUGAGUGCAAUGAACCAACUCCCGAGUCUCUAGGACGUUCCUAAAAAAAUUUGAUUUUUUCCCAUAGGAAUGCAUGGGUUAGGGUUAGGGUUAGGGUUGGAGCUAGGGUUAGGGUUAGGGUUAGGGUUGGAGUUAGGGUUAGUGUUGGAGCUAGGGUUAGGGUUGGGCUUGGAGCUAGGAUUUUUCUGAGUGCACUGAACCAACUCCCGAGUCUCUAGGACAUUCCUAAAAAAAUUUGAUUUUUUCCCAUAGGAAUGCAUGGGUUAGGGUUAUGGUUAGGGUUAGGGUUGGAGCUAGGGUUAGGGUUAGGGUUAGGGUUGGAGUUAGGGUUAGUGUUGGAGCUAGGGUUAGGGUUGGGCUUGGAGCUAGGAUUUUUCUGAGUGCACUGAACCAACUCCCGAGUCUCUAGGACAUUCCUAAAAAAAUUUGAUUUUUUCCCAUAGGAAUGCAUGGGUUAGGGUUAGGGUUAGGCUUGGAGCUAGGGUUAGGGUUAGGGUUAGGGUUGGAGUUAGGGUUAGUGUUGGAGCUAGGGUUAGGGUUGGGCUUGGAGCUAGGAUUUUUCUGAGUGCACUGAACCAACUCCCGAGUCUCUAGGACAUUCCUAAAAAAAAUUGAUUUUUUUCCCAUAGGAAUGCAUGGGUUAGGGUUAUGGUUAGGGUUAGGGUUGGAGCUAGGGUUAGGGUUGGAGUUAGGGUUAGUGUUGGAGCUAGGGUUAGGGUUAGGGUUAGGGUUAGGGUUAGGGUUAGGGUUAGGUUAGGGUUAGGGUUGGAGCUAGGGUUAGGGUUAGGGUUAGGGUUGGAGUUAGGGUUAGUGUUGGACCUAGGGUUAGGGUUGGGCUUGGAGCUAGGAUUUUUCUGAGUGCAAUGAACCAACUCCCGAGUCUCUAGGACGUUCCUAAACAAAUUUGAUUUUUUCCCAUAGGAAUGCAUGGGUUAGGGUUAGGGUUAGGGUUGGAGCUAGGGUUAGGGUUAGGGUUAGGGUUGGAGUUAGGGUUAGUGUUGGAGCUAGGGUUAGGGUUGGGCUUGGAGCUAGGAUUUUUCUGAGUGCAAUGAACCAACUCCCGAGUCUCUAGGACGUUCCUAAAAAAUUUGAUUUUUUCCCAUAGGAAUGCAUGGGUUAGGGUUAGGGUUAGGGUUGGAGCUAGGGUUAGGGUUAGGGUUAGGGUUGGAGUUAAGGUUAGUGUUGGAGCUAGGGUUAGGGUUGGGCUUGGAGCUAGGAUUUUUCUGAGUGCAAUGAACCAACUCCCGAGUCUCUAGGACGUUCCUAAAAAAAAUUGAUUUUUUCCCAUAGGAAUGCAUGGGUUAGGGUUAUGGUUAGGGUUAGGGUUGGAGCUAGGGUUAGGGUUAGGGUUAGGGUUGGAGUUAGGGUUAGUGUUGGAGCUAGGGUUAGGGUUGGGCUUGGAGCUAGGAUUUUUCUGAGUGCAAUGAACCAACCCCCGAGUCUCUAGGACGUUCCUAAAAAAAUUUGAUUUUUUCCCAUAGGAAUGCAUGGGUUAGGGUUAUGGUUAGGGUUAGGGUUGGAGCUAGGGUUAGGGUUAGGGUUAGGGUUGGAGUUAGGGUUAGUGUUGGAGCUAGGGUUAGGGUUGGGCUUGGAGCUAGGAUUUUUCUGAGUGCAAUGAACCAACUCCCGAGUCUCUAGGACGUUCCUAAAAAAAUUUGAUUUUUUUCCCCNNNNNNNNNNNNNNNNNNNNNNNNNNNNNNNNNNNNNNNNNNNNNNNNNNNNNNNNNNNNNNNNNNNNNNNNNNNNNNNNNNNNNNNNNNNNNNNNNNNNNNNNNNNNNNNNNNNNNNNNNNNNNNNNNNNNNNNNNNNNNNNNNNNNNNNNNNNNNNNNNNNNNNNNNNNNNNNNNNNNNNNNNNNNNNNNNNNNNNNNGUCUCUGAGGACAUUCCUAAAAAAAAUUUGAUUUUUCCCAUAGGAAUGCAUGGAGUUGGGGUUAGGGUUAGGGUUGGAGCUAGGGUUAGGGUUAGGGUUGGGGUUGGAGUUAGGGUUAGUGUUGGAGCUAGGGUUAGGGUUGGGCUUGGAGCUAGGAUUUUUCUGAGUGCAAUGAACCAACUCCCGAGUCUCUAGGACGUUCCUAAAAAAAUUUGAUUUUUUCCCAUAGGAAUGCAUGGGUUAGGGUUAGGGUUAGGGUUGGAGCUAGGGUUAGGGUUAGGGUUAGGGUUGGAGUUAGGGUUAGUGUUGGAGCUAGGGUUAGGGUUGGGCUUGGAGCUAGGAUUUUUCUGAGUGCACUGAACCAACUCCCGAGUCUCUAGGACGUUCCUAAAAAAAUUUGAUUUUUUUCCCAUAGGAAUGCAUGGGUUAGGGUUAUGGUUAGGGUUGGAGCUAGGGUUAGGGUUAGGGUUAGGGUUGGAGUUAGGGUUAGUGUUGGAGCUAGGGUUAGGGUUGGGCUUGGAGCUAGGAUUUUUCUGAGUGCACUGAACCAACUCCCGAGUCUCUAGGACGUUCCUAAAAAAAUUUGAUUUUUUCCCAUAGGAAUGCAUGGGUUAGGGUUAGGGUUAGGGUUGGAGCUAGGGUUAGGGUUAGGGUUAGGGUUGGAGUUAGGGUUAGUGUUGGAGCUAGGGUUAGGGUUGGGCUUGGAGCUAGGAUUUUUCUGAGUGCACUGAACCAACUCCCGAGUCUCUAGGACGUUCCUAAAAAAAAAUUUGAUUUUUUCCCAUAGGAAAUGCAUGGGUUAGGGUUAGGGUUAGGGUUGGAGCUAGGGUUAGGGUUAGGGUUAGGGUUGGAGUUAGGGUUAGUGUUGGAGCUAGGGUUAGGGUUGGGCUUGGAGCUAGGAUUUUUCUGAGUGCACUGAACCAACUCCCGAGUCUCUAGGACAUUCCUAAAAAAAUUUGAUUUUUUCCCAUAGGAAUGCAUGGGUUAGGGUUAUGGUUGGGGUUAGGGUUGGAGCUAGGGUUAGGGUUAGGGUUAGGGUUGGAGUUAGGGUUAGUGUUGGAGCUAGGGUUAGGGUUGGGCUUGGAGCUAGGAUUUUUCUGAGUGCACUGAACCAACUCCCGAGUCUCUAGGACAUUCCUAAAAAAAAUUGAUUUUUUCCCAUAGGAAUGCAUGGGUUAGGGUUAUGGUUAGGGUUAGGGUUGGAGCUAGGGUUAGGGUUAGGGUUAGGGUUGGAGUUAGGGUUAGUGUUGGAGCUAGGGUUAGGGUUGGGCUUGGAGCUAGGAUUUUUCUGAGUGCACUGAACCAACUCCCGAGUCUCUAGGACAUUCCUAAAAAAAUUUGAUUUUUCCCAUAGGAAUGCAUGGGUUAGGGUUAGGGUUAGGGUUGGAGCUAGGGUUAGGGUUAGGGUUAGGGUUGGAGUUAGGGUUAGUGUUGGAGCUAGGGUUAGGGUUGGGCUUGGAGCUAGGAUUUUUCUGAGUGCACUGAACCAACUCCCGAGUCUCUAGGACAUUCCUAAAAAAAUUUGAUUUUUUCCCAUAGGAAUGCAUGGGUUAGGGUUAGGGUUAGGGUUGGAGCUAGGGUUAGGGUUAGGGUUAGGGUUGGAGUUAGGGUUAGUGUUGGAGCUAGGGUUAGGGUUGGGCUUGGAGCUAGGAUUUUUCUGAGUGCACUGAACCAACUCCCGAGUCUCUAGGACAUUCCUAAAAAAAUUUGAUUUUUCCCAUAGGAAUGCAUGGGUUAGGGUUAUGGUUAGUUAGGGUUGGAGCUAGGGUUAGGGUUAGGGUUAGGGUUGGAGUUAGGGUUAGUGUUGGAGCUAGGGUUAGGGUUGGGCUUGGAGCUAGGAUUUUUCUGAGUGCAAUGAACCAACUCCCGAGUCUCUAGGACGUUCCUAAAAAAAUUUGAUUUUUUUCCCAUAGGAAUGCAUGGGUUAGGGUUAGGGUUAGGGUUAGGGUUGGAGCUAGGGUUAGGGUUAGGGUUAGGGUUGGAGUUAGGGUUAGUGUUGGAGCUAGGGUUAGGGUUGGGCUUGGAGCUAGGAUUUUUCUGAGUGCAAUGAACCAACUCCCGAGUCUCUAGGACGUUCCUAAAAAAAUUUGAUUUUUUCCCAUAGGAAUGCAUGGGUUAGGGUUAUGGUUAGGGUUAGGGUUGGAGCUAGGGUUAGGGUUAGGGUUAGGGUUGGAGUUAGGGUUAGUGUUGGAGCUAGGGUUAGGGUUGGGCUUGGAGCUAGGAUUUUCUGAGUGCAAUGAACCAACUCCCGAGUCUCUAGGACGUUCCUAAAAAAAUUUGAUUUUUUCCCAUAGGAAUGCAUGGGUUAGGGUUAGGGUUAGGGUUGGAGCUAGGGUUAGGGUUAGGGUUAGGGUUGGAGUUAGGGUUAGUGUUGGAGCUAGGGUUAGGGUUGGGCUUGGAGCUAGGAUUUUUCUGAGUGCAAUGAACCAACUCCCGAGUCUCUAGGACGUUCCUAAAAAAUUUGAUUUUUUCCCAUAGGAAUGCAUGGGUUAGGGUUAGGGUUAGGGUUAGGGUUGGAGCUAGGGUUAGGGUUAGGGUUAGGGUUGGAGUUAGGGUUAGUGUUGGAGCUAGGGUUAGGGUUGGGCUUGGAGCUAGGAUUUUCUGAGUGCACUGAACCAACUCCCGAGUCUCUAGGACAUUCCUAAAAAAAUUUGAUUUUUUCCCAUAGGAAUGCAUGGGUUAGGGUUAGGGUUAGGGUUAGGGUUGGAGCUAGGGUUAGGGUUAGGGUUAGGGUUGGAGUUAGGGUUAGUGUUGGAGCUAGGGUUAGGGUUGGGCUUGGAGCUAGGAUUUUUCUGAGUGCACUGAACCAACUCCCGAGUCUCUAGGACAUUCCUAAAAAAAUUUGAUUUUUCCCAUAGGAAUGCAUGGGUUAGGGUUAGGGUUAGGGUUGGAGCUAGGGUUAGGGUUAGGGUUGGAGUUAGGGUUAGUGUUGGAGCUAGGGUUAGGGUUGGGCUUGGAGCUAGGAUUUUUCUGAGUGCAAUGAACCAACUCCCGAGUCUCUAGGACGUUCCUAAAAAAUUUGAUUUUUUCCCAUAGGAAUGCAUGGGUUAGGGUUAGGGUUAGGGUUGGAGCUAGGGUUAGGGUUAGGGUUAGGGUUGGAGUUAGGGUUAGUGUUGGAGCUAGGGUUAGGGUUGGGCUUGGAGCUAGGAUUUUUCUGAGUGCACUGAACCAACUCCCGAGUCUCUAGGACGUUCCUAAAAAAAUUUGAUUUUUUCCCAUAGGAAUGCAUGGGUUAGGGUUAGGGUUAGGGUUAGGGUUGGAGCUAGGGUUAGGGUUAGGGUUAGGGUUGGAGUUAGGGUUAGUGUUGGAGCUAGGGUUAGGGUUGGGCUUGGAGCUAGGAUUUUUCUGAGUGCACUGAACCAACUCCCGAGUCUCUCUAGGAGGCGUUCCUAAAAAAUUUGAUUUUUUCCCAUAGGAAUGCAUGGGUUAGGGUUAGGGUUAGGGUUAGGGUUGGAGCUAGGGUUAGGGUUAGGGUUAGGGUUGGAGUUAGGGUUAGUGUUGGAGCUAGGGUUAGGGUUGGGCUUGGAGCUAGGAUUUUUCUGAGUGCAAUGAACCAACUCCCGAGUCUCUUGGACGUUCCUAAAAAAAUUUGAUUUUUUUCCCAUAGGAAUGCAUGGGUUAGGGUUAGGGUUAGGGUUGGAGCUAGGGUUAGGGUUAGGGUUAGGGUUGGAGUUAGGGUUAGUGUUGGAGCUAGGGUUAGGGUUGGGCUUGGAGCUAGGAUUUUUCUGAGUGCACUGAACCAACUCCCGAGUCUCUAGGACAUUCCUAAAAAAAUUUGAUUUUUUCCCAUAGGAAUGCAUGGGUUAGGGUUAGGGUUAGGGUUGGAGCUAGGGUUAGGGUUAGGGUUAGGGUUGGAGUUAGGGUUAGUGUUGGAGCUAGGGUUAGGGUUGGGCUUGGAGCUAGGAUUUUUCUGAGUGCACUGAACCAACUCCCGAGUCUCUAGGACAUUCCUAAAAAAAUUUGAUUUUUUCCCAUAGGAAUGCAUGGGUUAGGGUUAUGGUUAGGGUUAGGGUUGGAGCUAGGGUUAGGGUUAGGGUUAGGGUUGGAGUUAGGGUUAGUGUUGGAGCUAGGGUUAGGGUUGGGCUUGGAGCUAGGAUUUUUCUGAGUGCACUGAACCAACUCCCGAGUCUCUAGGACGUUCCUAAAAAAUUUGAUUUUUUCCCAUAGGAAUGCAUGGGUUAGGGUUAUGGUUAGGGUUAGGGUUGGAGCUAGGGUUAGGGUUAGGGUUAGGGUUGGAGUUAGGGUUAGUGUUGGAGCUAGGGUUAGGGUUGGGCUUGGAGCUAGGAUUUUUCUGAGUGCACUGAACCAACUCCCGAGUCUCUAGGACAUUCCUAAAAAAAUUUGAUUUUUUUCCCAUAGGAAUGCAUGGGUUAGGGUUAGGGUUAGGGUUGGAGCUAGGGUUAGGGUUAGGGUUAGGGUUGGAGUUAGGGUUAGUGUUGGAGCUAGGGUUAGGGUUGGGCUUGGAGCUAGGAUUUUUCUGAGUGCACUGAACCAACUCCCGAGUCUCUAGGACAUUCCUAAAAAAAAAUUUGAUUUUUUCCCAUAGGAAUGCAUGGGUUAGGGUUAUGGUUAGGGUUAGGGUUGGAGCUAGGGUUAGGGUUAGGGUUAGGGUUGGAGUUAGGGUUAGUGUUGGAGCUAGGGUUAGGGUUGGGCUUGGAGCUAGGAUUUUUCUGAGUGCACUGAACCAACUCCCGAGUCUCUAGGACAUUCCUAAAAAAAAAUUGAUUUUUUCCCAUAGGAAUGCAUGGGUUAGGGUUAUGGUUAGGGUUAGGGUUGGAGCUAGGGUUAGGGUUAGGGUUAGGGUUGGAGUUAGGGUUAGUGUUGGAGCUAGGGUUAGGGUUGGGCUUGGAGCUAGGAUUUUUCUGAGUGCAAUGAACCAACUCCCGAGUCUCUAGGACAUUCCUAAAAAAAUUUGAUUUUUUCCCAUAGGAAUGCAUGGGUUAGGGUUAGGGUUAGGGUUGGAGCUAGGGUUAGGGUUAGGGUUGGGUUGGAGUUAGGGUUAGUGUUGGAGCUAGGGUUAGGGUUGGGCUUGGAGCUAGGAUUUUUCUGAGUGCAAUGAACCAACUCCCGAGUCUCUAGGACAUUCCUAAAAAAAUUUGAUUUUUUCCCAUAGGAAUGCAUGGGUUAGGGUUAGGGUUAGGGUUGGAGCUAGGGUUAGGGUUAGGGUUAGGGUUGGAGUUAGGGUUAGUGUUGGAGCUAGGGUUAGGGUUGGGCUUGGAGCUAGGAUUUUUCUGAGUGCAAUGAACCAACUCCCGAGUCUCUAGGACAUUCCUAAAAAAAAAUUUGAUUUUUUCCCAUAGGAAUGCAUGGGUUAGGGUUAUGGUUAGGGUUAGGGUUGGAGCUAGGGUUAGGGUUAGGGUUAGGGUUGGAGUUAGGGUUAGUGUUGGAGCUAGGGUUAGGGUUGGGCUUGGAGCUAGGAUUUUUCUGAGUGCAAUGAACCAACUCCCGAGUCUCUAGGACGUUCUAAAAAAAAUUUGAUUUUUUCCCAUAGGAAUGCAUGGGUUAGGGUUAUGGUUAGGGUUAGGGUUGGAGCUAGGGUUAGGGUUAGGGUUAGGGUUGGAGUUAGGGUUAGUGUUGGAGCUAGGGUUAGGGUUGGGCUUGGAGCUAGGAUUUUUCUGAGUGCAAUGAACCAACUCCCGAGUCUCUAGGACGUUCCUAAAAAAAUUUGAUUUUUUCCCAUAGGAAUGCAUGGGUUAGGGUUAGGGUUAGGGUUGGAGCUAGGGUUAGGGUUAGGGUUAGGGUUGGAGUUAGGGUUAGUGUUGGAGCUAGGGUUAGGGUUGGGCUUGGAGCUAGGAUUUUUCUGAGUGCAAUGAACCAACUCCCGAGUCUCUAGGACGUUCCUAAAAAAAAAUUUGAUUUUUUCCCAUAGGAAUGCAUGGGUUAGGGUUAGGGUUAGGGUUGGAGCUAGGGUUAGGGUUAGGGUUAGGGUUGGAGUUAGGGUUAGUGUUGGAGCCAGGGUUAGGGUUGGGCUUGGAGCUAGGAUUUUUCUGAGUGCACUGAACCAACUCCCGAGUCUCUAGGACAUUCCUAAAAAAUUUGAUUUUUUUCCCAUAGGAAUGCAUGGGUUAGGGUUAGUGGUUAGGGUUAGGGUUGGAGCUAGGGUUAGGGUUAGGGUUAGGGUUGGAGUUAGGGUUAGUGUUGGAGCUAGGGUUAGGGUUGGGCUUGGAGCUAGGAUUUUUCUGAGUGCAAUGAACCAACCCCCGAGUCUCUAGGACGUUCCUAAAAAAAUUUGAUUUUUUCCCUAUAGGAAUGCAUGGGUUAGGGUUAGGGUUAGGGUUGGAGCUAGGGUUAGGGUUAGGGUUAGGGUUGGAGUUAGGGUUAGUGUUGGAGCUAGGGUUAGGGUUGGGCUUGGAGCUAGGAUUUUUCUGAGUGCAAUGAACCAACUCCCGAGUCUCUAGGACGUUCCUAAAAAAAUUUGAUUUUUUCCCAUAGGAAUGCAUGGGUUAGGGUUAGGGUUAGGGUUGGAGCUAGGGUUAGGGUUAGGGUUAGGGUUGGAGUUAGGGUUAGUGUUGGAGCUAGGGUUAGGGUUGGGCUUGGAGCUAGGUUUUUCUGAGGGUGCACUGAACCAACUCCCGAGUCUCUAGGACAUUCCUAAAAAAAUUUGAUUUUUUCCCAUAGGAAUGCAUGGGUUAGGGUUAUGGUUAGGGUUGGAGCUAGGGUUAGGGUUAGGGUUAGGGUUGGAGUUAGGGUUAGUGUUGGAGCUAGGGUUAGGGUUGGGCUUGGAGCUAGGAUUUUUCUGAGUGCACUGAACCAACUCCCGAGUCUCUAGGACAUUCCUAAAAAAAUUUGAUUUUUUCCCAUAGGAAUGCAUGGGUUAGGGUUAGGGUUAGGGUUGGAGCUAGGGUUAGGGUUAGGGUUAGGGUUGGAGUUAGGGUUAGUGUUGGAGCUAGGGUUAGGGUUGGGCUUGGAGCUAGGAUUUUUCUGAGUGCACUGAACCAACUCCCGAGUCUCUAGGACAUUCCUAAAAAAAUUUGAUUUUUCCCAUAGGAAUGCAUGGGUUAGGGUUAUGGUUAGGGUUAGGGUUGGAGCUAGGGUUAGGGUUAGGGUUAGGGUUGGAGUUAGGGUUAGUGUUGGAGCUAGGGUUAGGGUUGGGCUUGGAGCUAGGAUUUUUCUGAGUGCACUGAACCAACUCCCGAGUCUCUAGGACAUUCCUAAAAAAAUUUGAUUUUUUUCCCAUAGGAAUGCAUGGGUUAGGGUUAGGGUUAUGGUUAGGGUUAGGGUUAGGGUUAGGGUUAGGGUUGGAGUUAGGGUUAGUGUUGGAGCUAGGGUUAGGGUUGGGCUUGGAGCUAGGAUUUUUCUGAGUGCACUGAACCAACUCCCGGGUCUCUAGGACAUUCCUAAAAAAAUUUGAUUUUUUCCCAUAGGAAUGCAUGGGUUAGGGUUAGGGUUAGGGUUGGAGCUAGGGUUAGGGUUAGGGUUAGGGUUGGAGUUAGGGUUAGUGUUGGAGCUAGGGUUAGGGUUGGGCUUGGAGCUAGGAUUUUUCUGAGUGCAAUGAACCAACUCCCGAGUCUCUAGGACAUUCCUAAAAAAAUUUGAUUUUUUCCCAUAGGAAUGCAUGGGUUAGGGUUAGGGUUAGGGUUGGAGCUAGGGUUAGGGUUAGGGUUAGGGUUGGAGUUAGGGUUAGUGUUGGAGCUAGGGUUAGGGUUGGGCUUGGAGCUAGGAUUUUUCUGAGUGCACUGAACCAACUCCCGAGUCUCUAGGACAUUCCUAAAAAAAUUUGAUUUUUUUCCCAUAGGAAUGCAUGGGUUAGGGUUAUGGUUAGGGUUAGGGUUGGAGCUAGGGUUAGGGUUAGGGUUAGGGUUGGAGUUAGGGUUAGUGUUGGAGCUAGGGUUAGGGUUGGGCUUGGAGCUAGGAUUUUUCUGAGUGCAAUGAACCAACCCCCGAGUCUCUAGGACGUUCCUAAAAAAAUUUGAUUUUUUCCCAUAGGAAUGCAUGGGUUAGGGUUAUGGUUAGGGUUGGAGCUAGGGUUAGGGUUAGGGUUAGGGUUGGAGUUAGGGUUAGUGUUGGAGCUAGGGUUAGGGUUGGGCUUGGAGCUAGGAUUUUUCUGAGUGCAAUGAACCAACUCCCGAGUCUCUAGGACGUUCCUAAAAAAUUUGAUUUUUUCCCAUAGGAAUGCAUGGGUUAGGGUUAGGGUUAGGGUUGGAGCUAGGGUUAGGGUUAGGGUUAGGGUUGGAGUUAGGGUUAGUGUUGGAGCUAGGGUUAGGGUUGGGCUUGGAGCUAGGAUUUUUCUGAGUGCACUGAACCAACUCCCGAGUCUCUAGGACGUUCCUAAAAAAAUUUGAUUUUUUCCCAUAGGAAUGCAUGGGUUAGGGUUAUGGUUAGGGUUAGGGUUAGGGUUGGAGUUAGGGUUAGUGUUGGAGCUAGGGUUAGGGUUGGGCUUGGAGCUAGGAUUUUUCUGAGUGCACUGAACCAACUCCCGAGUCUCUAGGACAUUCCUAAAAAAAUUUGAUUUUUUCCCAUAGGAAUGCAUGGGUUAGGGUUAGGGUUAGGGUUGGAGCUAGGGUUAGGGUUAGGGUUAGGGUUGGAGUUAGGGUUAGUGUUGGAGCUAGGGUUAGGGUUGGGCUUGGAGCUAGGAUUUUUCUGAGUGCACUGAACCAACUCCCGAGUCUCUAGGACAUUCCUAAAAAAAUUUGAUUUUUUCCUAUAGGAAUGCAUGGGUUAGGGUUAUGGUUAGGGUUAGGGUUGGAGCUAGGGUUAGGGUUAGGGUUAGGGUUGGAGUUAGGGUUAGUGUUGGAGCUAGGGUUAGGGUUGGGCUUGGAGCUAGGAUUUUUCUGAGUGCACUGAACCAACUCCCGAGUCUCUAGGACAUUCCUAAAAAAAUUUGAUUUUUUCCCAUAGGAAUGCAUGGGUUAGGGUUAGGGUUAGGGUUGGAGCUAGGGUUAGGGUUAGGGUUAGGGUUGGAGUUAGGGUUAGUGUUGGAGCUAGGGUUAGGGUUGGGCUUGGAGCUAGGAUUUUUCUGAGUGCACUGAACCAACUCCCGAGUCUCUAGGACAUUCCUAAAAAAAUUUGAUUUUUUCCUAUAGGAAUGCAUGGGUUAGGGUUAUGGUUAGGGUUAGGGUUGGAGCUAGGGUUAGGGUUAGGGUUAGGGUUGGAGUUAGGGUUAGUGUUGGAGCUAGGGUUAGGGUUGGGCUUGGAGCUAGGAUUUUUCUGAGUGCACUGAACCAACUCCCGAGUCUCUAGGACAUUCCUA
This 30195-nucleotide long non-coding RNA is filed under the name Xyrichtys novacula (pearly razorfish). Lineage: Eukaryota; Metazoa; Chordata; Actinopteri; Labriformes; Labridae. The record is from RNAcentral.